Sphaeramia orbicularis (orbiculate cardinalfish) is the source of this 233-nucleotide long non-coding RNA. RefSeq lists it as uncharacterized. The record is from RefSeq and is a predicted model, not a curated record. Lineage: Eukaryota; Metazoa; Chordata; Actinopteri; Kurtiformes; Apogonidae. The transcript has 3 exons.
UGUGCUGUUGCUUUUCCACUGCAAUUGGUAUCACCUCAUCACGAAUGAGAUGGGUGUGGUCAGUGGAGUUGAAACUGUCGAGACGUUGUUUUAGUAAAGUUAACAGUAACGACAAUGGAUGACAUCGAGGUGAUGCUGUACUUGUCGCUCAGUCUGUGGCUUUUUGUCACAGAAAAGGUGAAAUGAGAGAGAGCCAGAAAUACAAGCAGCCAACAAACACACUUCAAAACCAA